This 253-nucleotide ribosomal RNA is filed under the name uncultured bacterium. RNAcentral describes it as "partial 16S ribosomal RNA". It matches the Rfam family "Bacterial small subunit ribosomal RNA", at positions 524 to 776 of the family's 1533-position model. The record is from RNAcentral.
UACGGAGGGUGCGAGCGUUGUCCGGAAUCACUGGGCGUAAAGGGCGCGUAGGCGGCUACUUAAGCGUGUGGUGAAAGUCCGGGGCUCAACCCCGGAUCGGCCGUGCGAACUGGGUGGCUCGAGCACUGUAGAGGCAGGUGGAAUUCCGGGUGUAGCGGUGGAAUGCGUAGAGAUCCGGAAGAACACCGGUGGCGAAGGCGGCUUGCUGGGCAGUGGCUGACGCUGAGGCGCGACAGCGUGGGGAGCAAACAGG